UACGUAGGUGGCAAGCGUUGUCCGGAAUUACUGGGUGUAAAGGGAGCGUAGGCGGGAAAGCAAGUUGAAUGUUUAAGGUACGGGCUCAACCUGUACAAGCGUUCAAAACUGUUUUUCUUGAGUGGAGUAGAGGUAAGCGGAAUUCCUAGUGUAGCGGUGAAAUGCGUAAAUAUUAGGAGGAACACCAGUGGCGAGGGCGGCUUACUGGGCUUUAACUGACGCUGAGGCUCGAAAGCGUGGGUAGCAAACAGG
This 252-nucleotide ribosomal RNA is filed under the name uncultured bacterium. Its description in RNAcentral is "partial 16S ribosomal RNA". It matches the Rfam family "Bacterial small subunit ribosomal RNA", at positions 524 to 776 of the family's 1533-position model. The record is from RNAcentral.